AAAGCGUGCGCAGGCGGUUAUGUAAGACAGAUGUGAAAUCCCCGGGCUCAACCUGGGAACUGCAUUAGUGACUGCAUGGCUAGAGUACGGUAGAGGGGGAUGGAAUUCCGCGUGUAGCAGUGAAAUGCGUAGAUAUGCGGAGGAACACCGAUGGCGAAGGCAAUCCCCUGGACCUGUACUGACGCUCAUGCACGAAAGCGUGGGGAGCAAACAGGAUAAGAUACCCCUGU
Molecule: ribosomal RNA, 230 nt
Filed under: uncultured bacterium
Lineage: Bacteria
Description: partial 16S ribosomal RNA
Rfam family: Bacterial small subunit ribosomal RNA
Source: RNAcentral